Molecule: microRNA precursor, 67 nt
Filed under: Bombyx mori (domestic silkworm)
Lineage: Eukaryota; Metazoa; Arthropoda; Insecta; Lepidoptera; Bombycidae
Description: mir-2774 microRNA precursor family
Rfam family: mir-2774 microRNA precursor family
Source: Rfam by way of RNAcentral
ACGACAUUCGGACCGUCGGUCUAGCGAGCAAUUACACCAGCUAAUUGGAAGAUCUUCCUUUUGUCGU